UGAGGAAUAUUGCGCAAUGGACGAAAGUCUGACGCAGCAACGCCGCGUGAACGAUGAAGGUCUUCGGAUUGUAAAGUUCUGUAGCAGGGGACGAAUUACCCGUAGAGGGUGUUGACGGUACCCUGAAAGUAAGCACCGGCUAACUCCGUGCCAGCAGCCGCGGUAAUACGGAGGGUGCAAGCGUUGUCCGGAUUCACUGGGUGUAAAGGGCGUGUAGGCGGAUAUGAAAGUCGAAGGUGAAAGCGGGCAGCUUAACUGUCUCAAGUGCCUUCGAUACUCCAUGUCUUGAGUGUGUCAGGGGGUACUGGAAUUCCCGGUGUAGCGGUGGAAUGCGUAGAUAUCGGGAGGAACACCAGUGGCGAAGGCGGGUACCUGGGGCACAACUGACGCUGAGACGCGAAAGUGCGGGGAGCAAACAGG
Molecule: ribosomal RNA, 420 nt
Filed under: uncultured bacterium
Lineage: Bacteria
Description: bacterial SSU rRNA
Rfam family: Bacterial small subunit ribosomal RNA
Source: RNAcentral